This 910-nucleotide ribosomal RNA is filed under the name uncultured bacterium. RNAcentral's name for it is "bacterial SSU rRNA". It matches the Rfam family "Bacterial small subunit ribosomal RNA", at positions 33 to 959 of the family's 1533-position model. The record is from RNAcentral.
ACGCUGACAGAAUGCUUAACACAUGCAAGUCAACUUGAAUUUGAGUUUUUAACUUAGAUUUGGGUGGCGGACGGGUGAGUAACGCGUAAAGAACUUGCCUCACAGCUAGGGACAACAUUUAGAAAUGAAUGCUAAUACCUGAUAUUAUGAUUUUAAGGCAUCUUAGAAUUAUGAAAGCUAUAAACACUGUGAGAGAGCUUUGCGUCCCAUUAGCUAGUUGGAGAGGUAACAGCUCACCAAGGCGAUGAUGGGUAGCCGGCCUGAGAGGGUGAACGGCCACAAGGGGACUGAGACACGGCCCUUACUCCUACGGGAGGCAGCAGUGGGGAAUAUUGGACAAUGGACCGAGAGUCUGAUCCAGCAAUUCUGUGUGCACGAUGAAGUUUUUCGGAAUGUAAAGUGCUUUCAGUUGGGAAGAAAAAAAUGACGGUACCAACAGAAGAAGUGACGGCUAAAUACGUGCCAGCAGCCGCGGUAAUACGUAUGUCACGAGCGUUAUCCGGAUUUAUUGGGCGUAAAGCGCGUCUAGGUGGUUAUGUAAGUCUGAUGUGAAAAUGCAGGGCUCAACUCUGUAUUGCGUUGGAAACUGUGUAACUAGAGUACUGGAGAGGUAAGCGGAACUACAAGUGUAGAGGUGAAAUUCGUAGAUAUUUGUAGGAAUGCCGAUGGGGAAGCCAGCUUACUGGACAGAUACUGACGCUAAAGCGCGAAAGCGUGGGUAGCAAACAGGAUUAGAUACCCUGGUAGUCCACGCUGUAAACGAUGAUUACUAGGUGUUGGGGGUCGAACCUCAGCGCCCAAGCAAACGCGAUAAGUAAUCCGCCUGGGGAGUACGUACGCAAGUAUGAAACUCAAAGGAAUUGACGGGGACCCGCACAAGCGGUGGAGCAUGUGGUUUAAUUCGACGCAA